Non-coding RNA from Oryza nivara, 208 nucleotides. The record is from Rfam. Lineage: Eukaryota; Viridiplantae; Streptophyta; Magnoliopsida; Poales; Poaceae.
AAUAAGUACAGUUUUACACUAUUCACGUUUAAAGUUUGACCGUUUAUCUUAUUUAAAUUUUUUUUAUGAUUACUAUUUUUAUUGCUAUUAUAUGAUAAAACAUGAAUAUUACUUUACGUGUGACUAAAUAUUUUUAAUUUUUUCACAAAAUUUUCAAAUAAGACGGAUGGUCAAACGUUGGGCACGGAUAUCCACGGCUGCACUUAUC